RNAcentral lists this ribosomal RNA (292 nucleotides) under uncultured bacterium. RNAcentral describes it as "partial 16S ribosomal RNA". It matches the Rfam family "Bacterial small subunit ribosomal RNA", at positions 505 to 796 of the family's 1533-position model. The record is from RNAcentral.
GUGCCAGCAGCCGCGGUAAUACGGAGGGAGCUAGCGUUGUUCGGAAUUACUGGGCGUAAAGCGCACGUAGGCGGCGAUUCAAGUCAGAGGUGAAAGCCCGGGGCUCAACCCCGGAACUGCCUUUGAAACUAGAUUGCUAGAAUCCUGGAGAGGUUAGUGGAAUUCCGAGUGUAGAGGUGAAAUUCGUAGAUAUUCGGAAGAACACCAGUGGCGAAGGCGACUAACUGGACAGGUAUUGACGCUGAGGUGCGAAAGCGUGGGGAGCAAACAGGAUUAGAUACCCGUGUAGUCC